This 309-nucleotide ribosomal RNA is filed under the name uncultured fungus. RNAcentral's name for it is "SSU rRNA". It matches the Rfam family "Eukaryotic small subunit ribosomal RNA", at positions 39 to 352 of the family's 1831-position model. Lineage: Eukaryota; Fungi. The record is from RNAcentral.
AAAGAUUAAGCCAUGCAUGUCUAAGUAUAAGCAAUUAUACCGCGAAACUGCGAAUGGCUCAUUAAAUCAGUUAUCGUUUAUUUGAUAGUACCUUACUACAUGGAUAACCGUGGUAAUUCUAGAGCUAAUACAUGCUGAAAAUCCCGACUUCGGAAGGGAUGUAUUUAUUAGAUUAAAAACCAAUGCCCUCACGGGCUCUCUGGUGAUUCAUAAUAACUUCUCGAAUCGCACGGCCUUGCGCCGGCGAUGGUUCAUUCAAAUUUCUGCCCUAUCAACUUUCGACGGCUGGGUCUUGGCCAGCCGUGGUGA